GACGAACGCUGGCGGCGUGCCUAAUACAUGCAAGUCGAACGCAGUGGGGACGGGUGAGUAACACGUGGGUAACCUCCCAUCAGAGGGGAUAACACUUGGAAACAGGUGCUAAACCGAUACUGAUGGAUGGACCCGCGGGGCAUUAGCUAGUUGGUGAGGUAACGGCCCACCAAGGCCACGAUGCAUAGCCGGGCUGGGAGGGUGAUCUGCCACACGGGGACUGGGACACGGACCAGACUCCUACGGGAGGCAGCAGUGGGGAAUCUUCGGCAAUGGACGAAAGUCUGACCGAGCAACGCCGCGUGAGUGAAGAAGGUUUUCGGAUCGUAAAACACUGUUGGUAGACAAGAGGGAACUAAAGAGAAAGCCACGGCUAACUACGUGCCAGCAGCCGCGGUAAUAG
This 403-nucleotide ribosomal RNA is filed under the name uncultured bacterium. Its description in RNAcentral is "partial 16S ribosomal RNA". It matches the Rfam family "Bacterial small subunit ribosomal RNA", at positions 28 to 526 of the family's 1533-position model. The record is from RNAcentral.